ACCACGUUUCUCACCGGCCGCGCGAUAAUGCGACCAAAGCCCUCUCAAACCCCUCUUCAUCACUCGCUUCCCAACCGCGAAUAACACGGACACGACAAUAGUAUCCUCGUAAGAUGUCUGUCACUGGUACAAGAAUACAGACCUACGAGGAUUUCGUCAAAGUUCACGGUCUGCUAUUGGCUGCCUCCGGACUACCUCGAUCGCUGCACUACAAACUGUUCGAGAAACUUGCUGCAGAGACCUUCGAUGGCGGCGCCUACUUCCAAGUCGAGCCGUGCGAGGAGGGCCGUCAGAGGCGGCUCGUCCUCACCUCCGACUCUAUGCCCGAAGUGUCCAACGUUUUUCUCGUCGACCAUGCCUGGACUUUUCGUCUCGCCGAUGCUUACAAACAGCUACAAGAAGUCCCAGGGUUGGCUCAGAGAAUGGCUUCUUUAAUGUGUGUAGAUAUUGAUUUGAAUUCUGAUGCUGAAGACGGGGAUGGAGUUUCACAAGAAAACAAUUCCAAAUUGAAUGCCAUGGAUGUGAUUGAGAACGAAAUUAAUGAUGCGAAAGUGAAAGGCUGUGAUGCUGUUAGGUGGGUGGAGCUUGAGGAGCUGGACGUUGAUGAUGAUAUGCUGCUUUCUCUUGAUUUGUCGAGUAAAUUUCCGGAUUUGCUAGCACUUAGCCUGUGUGAAAACAAGCUUGAGAGUGUAGAAAUAGUUGUGCAAGAAGUUACCAAGUUCAAAAAUCUAAGGGCUCUCUGGCUGAAUAACAAUCCACUUUUAAGAAACUGUAAUAGUCAUAUGGAAGAAGCAAUUGUCCAAGGUUGUCCAAGAUUGGAAAUCUACAACUCACAUUUCACCAGCAAUUUUGGUGGGUGGGCCUUGGGAUUUUGUGGAGGAGUGUAUGACAAGGAUAAUCCCGGCUGUGUCAAUCAGAGUGACUUUCAAUUGCAGAGUGUGACAUCUCUUGACCUUUCAAACAGAUGUAUUCGUUCUUUGGUUAACAAGGCAUUUUCUACUGUUGAGAUGCCAUCUCUUUCACAUUUGAAUAUUCGGGGAAAUCCAUUGGAGCAGAAUUCAGUUCAUGAACUAUUGGAAGUUUUGAAGGGAUUUCCUUGUUUACAAGCUUUGGAGGUGGAUAUUCCUGGUUUCCUUGGAGAUAGUGCCAUAGAAAUUGUUGAAUCUCUUCCCAAACUUACUUUGCUGAAUGGUGUUGAUGCAUCAAAAAUAUUGGAGACUGGCAACCAUGUGAUUGAUUCAAUACUUAAGCCCCGUCUUCCUGAAUGGACGGCCAAUGAGCCUCUUGCUGAUCGUGUUGUUAAUGCAAUGUGGUUAUAUAUAAUGACAUAUAGACUUGCAGAUGAGGAAAAAAUUGAUGAAACCUCUGUCUGGUAUGUGAUGGAUGAACUUGGUUCAGCUUUAUGGCACAGUGAUGAGCCAAAUUUCAGGGUAGCUCCUUUUCUCUUCAUGCCAGAGGGGAAGCUGGAAUCGGCUGUGAGGUUGUCCUUGGGCCUUUUUUUUUUCCUGAUUUGUGCACCUGUUUGCUAAUCUUCCCUGAACUUCACAUUCCUCUUGGAAGUAACUGCACAUAAAGUGUAUUCAUGUUAUAUGAUGUAGUGACCUUUUUGAAUUAAAAUAAAUAAAUAUACACAAGCUUGUGUUCUUCAGACAAGGGCACACAAAAAAGGUUUACAUGUUUUAGACAAAUGUAAUCCUAGUUCAUGAAAAUAAAUACUUUUUCUCUUCAUGCCAGAGGGGAAGCUGGAAUCGGCUGUGAGGUUGUCCUUGGGCCUUUUUUUUUUCCUGAUUUGUGCACCUGUUUGCUAAUCUUCCCUGAACUUCACAUUCCUCUUGGAAGUAACUGCACAUAAAGUGUAUUCAUGUUAUAUGAUGUAGUGACCUUUUUGAAUUAAAAUAAAUAAAUAUACACAAGCUUGUGUUCUUCAGACAAGGGCACACAAAAAAGGUUUACAUGUUUUAGACAAAUGUAAUCCUAGUUCAUGAAAAUAAAUACU
Molecule: unclassified non-coding RNA, 1996 nt
Filed under: Hevea brasiliensis (rubber tree)
Lineage: Eukaryota; Viridiplantae; Streptophyta; Magnoliopsida; Malpighiales; Euphorbiaceae
Source: RNAcentral